This 427-nucleotide long non-coding RNA is filed under the name Cricetulus griseus (Chinese hamster). RNAcentral describes it as "lncRNA (ENSCGRG00015024811.2)". The record is from RNAcentral. Lineage: Eukaryota; Metazoa; Chordata; Mammalia; Rodentia; Cricetidae.
CACGUUCAGUGGUCGGCUUCUGAGGGCCUCAAGCUAAGAUACCUUAUCUUGGGCUCAGAAGGUCUCUGCAGUUCAGUGAAGGAGUCAGCAAGACAAGCAAUGGAAUGAGCUACUUACGACAAUGCAGAGUGGGGUCUCUGUAACUAUAAGAAACAAAGCCGGCCAUCAUCUUGCAGAUGAGUGUUUGUCAAGGGCCCUGCUUAGCCAUGGCUUUGUUGGAAACACUGAGGAAAACUUCCCCACGGCAUUGGUUUUCCUCUGUGGUAAGGUCCAUGUGGUGAGGGUCUCUCCAUGGUCUUCCUGAAAAAGAUGGCAGAUAGCUCAUCAGGACUAACCUGCGACCUAACUGACUUUGGGAGCCUGAGGCCUCUGGCCUCCUUUUUGUUCCCUGGGGACCACAGCCAUGGCACCAGCUGCAGUUAUCCUG